Bradysia coprophila is the source of this 2065-nucleotide unclassified non-coding RNA. NCBI's taxonomy places the organism in Eukaryota, Metazoa, Arthropoda, Insecta, Diptera, Sciaridae. The record is from RefSeq and is a predicted model, not a curated record.
GUGUAAUAGCUGUUAAGCCGAUAUUAUUGGCUCAGUCUCUAGCAACAUUUCGGAGACAACGAAGAGCGACUUGUGUAUGUUGUGAACGUAGCAAAUACACCAGAAUCGGUGUCUGGAAAAAUAGACUGAUUUGAAUUUGUGAAUUGGAUUACGUGUGGUGUGGCCUGUUAUUUUACUGGCUGUGACUGUUUUAGUAGUUGUACCAUAUUCAGUUAUAUUCCUUAUUAUCUGUUCCACACGUUACGUGGAAUUGAAUACUACAAAGUGCAAGUUUUCUGUGAAAAGAAAUUCAUUUCCAAUUGAAAUUGUUGUUGUUUUUGCAUACGUGUUUUAAGGGUGUAAUAAACUCGUUAUCAUGUUCGUAUUCGUGAACAUAUAGACAAUCGUAUGCUAAAAGGCUAGAGAACCGGAAGUGAUUAAAAUGAAUUAAUGUCCGAAAAAUCUGAAUCAUUUUGAUUUAAAUUGCGUAGAAGAUAAUACCGACGUGUAUGCAUACAUGAUAACACUUUAAUAACAAUGUGGCUCGUUCGUGAAUUGCAAUAAAUUCGUUGUGUACUUACUAAUUUUGGAAUAUUUAUAAAUAUCAAUCGUAAGACAGUCAAAAAUUCUGAACGAUAUUCGUUCGGCGAAAAAAUAAUUUUAUUUUGCAUAGUCGAGUGUGUGUCACAGUUUAAUAUUCCUUUGAAGUUGUGGUUUGUUGCAAUAAUAAAAAGCAAAAAUGAUCUUCAAACGAUACCUAAACGAAGGCCAGUUGAAGGGAUUCGAAAGAUACAAGUACAGUUCCAUUGACAACAGUAUAUUUAGUACGAAGGUGAUGCACCCAUUCUGGAAUUGGUGUGUACAAUUCUUCCCCAGAUGGAUCGCGCCGAAUUUAAUAACAUUCACCGGUUUCUUACUUACGAUAGCCAAUUUCUUGCUGAUAGGAUACUAUGACUAUGGAUUUACCGCAGUAAACGAUAAAGAACAUCCGAUACCGAGAUGGGUAUGGCUGGUAGCAUCGAUAAAUAUUUUUUUAGCGUACACCUUAGAUGGAAUCGAUGGUAAACAAGCUAGGAGAACUGGAACCAGUGGUCCGUUGGGAGAACUCUUCGAUCACGGCGUGGAUUCAUAUUCGGCCGUGCUGAUACCCAUCUAUGUUUUCAGUUUGUUUGGCAAAGUCGAACUGAGUCCGUUAAGAAUGCACUUUGUUACGUGGAACGUAUUUCUGAAUUUUUAUCUCACCCACUUCGAAAAGUACAAUACUGGUGUUCUGUUCUUGCCAUGGGCCUAUGACUUCACAAUGUGGGGAGUUACGCUGACACUUCUCGUCACGUUUCUGUUCGGAACGAACAUUUGGCAUACACCAUUGCCAGGCGGCAUAGCACCGGCAUUUGCAUUCGAAUGGCUACUGUACAUAUCUGGAAUAAUCAGCAGCCAUCCAUUUAUCAUAUACAAUGUGUACAAAUCUUACAAAAAUAAAACAGGGAAAAUGAGACCCAUUUUGGAAGCAUUGAGGCCACUUAUGCCAUUCACUGCAUUAUUCAUCAUAACCACAAUUUGGGUUAUGUUAUCCAGGAAUGACAUAUGCUCCAUGGAACCACGACUGAUGUUUCUACUUUUCGGCACAAUUUUCUCGAACAUAUGCUGUCGCCUAAUUGUGGCUCAAAUGUCUGACACACGUACAGAGGGUUGGAACGCCUUCUUUUGGCCACUGUUGGUUGCUGUUAGCAUAUCGAUAUUUCCGUAUCGAUAUUUUGCAAUGGGAGAUAUUGCUCCGGCUACGGAACGGUGGCUCGUUUAUGUAUUAACGUCAAUGCUAACGAUUGCUCAUUUUCACUAUGGUCAGGGGGUGGUUCGAGAAAUGUGUCGCCACUUUAAAAUCAAAUGUUUUAAAAUUUAAAAAUCUUUAAACAGCUUGCUUAUGAAACUAACACCAUACCAAACUAAUCGCAAUCAAACGAACGUUUGAGAUUCGAUUACCAGACCAACAAGAAGUCUAACACAGAAAAUUGUUUAAUGUUUUAUACCAAAAAAAUACUCAUUUUACGAAGUUAAAUCUUAAUGGCAAAUAAACAAGUCGAAUCAU